Molecule: ribosomal RNA, 339 nt
Filed under: uncultured Thermococcus sp.
Lineage: Archaea; Methanobacteriati; Methanobacteriota; Thermococci; Thermococcales; Thermococcaceae
Description: bacterial SSU rRNA
Rfam family: Archaeal small subunit ribosomal RNA
Source: RNAcentral
ACUUCGCAAUGCGGGAAACCGUGACGAGGGAAUUCCGAGUGCUCAUACAAUGUAUGGGCUUUUCUGAUGUGUAAAAAGCAUUAGGAAUAAGGGCUGGGUAAGACCGGUGCCAGCCGCCGCGGUAAUACCGGCAGCUCUAGUGGUAGCCACUUUUAUUGGGCCUAAAGCGUCCGUAGCCGGUCAGGUAAAUCCUUGGGUAAAUCGUACAGCUUAACUGUGCGGCUUCCGGGGAGACUGCCUGACUUGGGGACCGGGAGAGGUUGGAGGUACUCCUGGGGUAGGGUGAAAUCCUGUAAUCCUAGGUGGACCACCGGUGGCGAAGGCGUCCAACCAGAACGG